UCCAUCCCUUGAUUGCACUUUUACAUUUUA
RNAcentral lists this non-coding RNA (30 nucleotides) under Mus musculus (house mouse). Lineage: Eukaryota; Metazoa; Chordata; Mammalia; Rodentia; Muridae. The record is from RNAcentral.